Molecule: ribosomal RNA, 373 nt
Filed under: uncultured organism
Description: bacterial SSU rRNA
Rfam family: Bacterial small subunit ribosomal RNA
Source: RNAcentral
CGAAGGGUGCAAGCGUUAAUCGGAAUUACUGGGCGUAAAGCGUGCGUAGAUGGUUCAUUAAGUCGGAUGUGAAAGCCCCGGGCUCAACCUGGGAACUGCAUCCGAUACUGGUGGACUAGAGUGCGGUAGAGGAUGGCGGAAUUCCCGGUGUAGCGGUGAAAUGCGUAGAGAUCGGGAGGAACAUCCGUGGCGAAGGCGGCCAUCUGGACCAGCACUGACGUUGAGGCACGAAAGCGUGGGGAGCAAACAGGAUUAGAUACCCUGGUAGUCCACGCCCUAAACGAUGUCGACUGGAUGUUGGGUGCAACUUGGCACUCAGUAUCGAAGCUAACGCGUUAAGUCGACCGCCUGGGGAGGUACGCGCGCAAGCGUG